AUAUGGAAAACUGGUGCCUUUAUCGUCGUUUCUUGAAAAGGUGCACUUCCAAUGGAAAUUGACAACGUUAUCAUAUUAGAAAGAACAGGAAGUAGCCAAUGACGGAGCGUCAUUAGAUUUACGAUAGCACGCGCGCUCCCGUCUACACAAUGUGUUUAACUCUUCAUUAGUCUGCUCCAUUUGUCGCGUCAAGCUAAUAAACUAUUGAACGAAUCAAA
Molecule: long non-coding RNA, 218 nt
Organism: Daphnia magna
Lineage: Eukaryota; Metazoa; Arthropoda; Branchiopoda; Diplostraca; Daphniidae
Exons: 2
Source: RefSeq, a predicted model, not a curated record